RNAcentral lists this ribosomal RNA (253 nucleotides) under uncultured bacterium. RNAcentral describes it as "partial 16S ribosomal RNA". It matches the Rfam family "Bacterial small subunit ribosomal RNA", at positions 524 to 776 of the family's 1533-position model. The record is from RNAcentral.
GACGUAGGGCGCGAGCGUUGUCCGGAUUUAUUGGGCGUAAAGAGCUCGUAGGCGGCUUGUCGCGUCGACUGUGAAAACCCGCGGCUCAACCGCGGGCCUGCAGUCGAUACGGGCAGGCUAGAGUUCGGUAGGGGAGACUGGAAUUCCUGGUGUAGCGGUGAAAUGCGCAGAUAUCAGGAGGAACACCGAUGGCGAAGGCAGGUCUCUGGGCCGAUACUGACGCUGAUGCACGAAAGUGUGGGGAUCAAACAGG